This 108-nucleotide small RNA is filed under the name Arabidopsis thaliana (thale cress). RNAcentral describes it as "ATSL187030". Lineage: Eukaryota; Viridiplantae; Streptophyta; Magnoliopsida; Brassicales; Brassicaceae. The record is from RNAcentral.
CGCUGAGCUCGAUUGCCCACUUAGCUACACGUCCUGAUUGGCUUGGACUGUGUAAGAUGGCGCGGAGUGGCAUGGAUCCCAUUACUACGAUGGAAUGGGAUUGAAAAU